RNAcentral lists this ribosomal RNA (254 nucleotides) under uncultured bacterium. RNAcentral describes it as "partial 16S ribosomal RNA". It matches the Rfam family "Bacterial small subunit ribosomal RNA", at positions 524 to 776 of the family's 1533-position model. The record is from RNAcentral.
CACGUAGGGUGCGAGCGUUGUCCGGAAUUAUUGGGCGUAAAGAGCUCGUAGGCGGUGUGUCGCGUCGGCCGUGAAAACCUGCAGCUUAACUGUGGGCUUGCGGUCGAUACGGGCAUCACUGGAGUUCGGCAGGGGAGACUGGAAUUCCUGGUGUAGCGGUGAAAUGCGCAGAUAUCAGGAGGAGCACCGGUGGCGAAGGCGGGUCUCUGGGCCGAUACUGACGCUGAGGAGCGAAAGCGUGGGGAGCGAACAGG